GGCAAACCAAUGUUCUCGCACACACAGCUGAUGCUAAAGCUGAUGUUUCCAGGAAGUGGUCUGUGGAGUCGUUGAUCUCAAAGAACAACAAUGAACCACCUCGUGGCUAGAGACUGAUGAAGGUCACAGGAGGACUUCAGAGGAAAGGAGGGCAGGACAACGGAGGAGAGGACAGAAGAGGAGAGGCCAGGCCAGGCGCUGGAAGUAGAGGAGAGAGGAGAGGCGAGGCGAGGCAAGGCCAGGCGCUGGAAGUAGAGGAGAGGCCAGGCGCUGGAAGAAGAGGAGAGGCCAGGCGCUGGAAGUAGAGGAGAGAGGAGAGGCGAGGUGAGGCGAGGCCAGGUGCUGGAAGUAGAGGGGGAGAGGAGAGGAGAGGCCAGGCCAGGCGCUGGAAGGAGAGGAGAGAGGAGAGGAGAGGCCAGGCCUGGCCAGGCGCUGGAAGUAGAGGAGAGAGGAGAGGCGAGGUGAGGCGAGGCCAGGCGCUGGAAGGAGAGGAGAGAGGAGAGGCGAGGCCAGGCGCUGGAAGGAGAGGAGAGGCCAGGCGCUGGAAGGAGAGGAGAGGCCAGGCGCUGGAAGGAGAGGAGAGGCCAGGCGCUGGAAGAAGAGGAGAG
Molecule: long non-coding RNA, 608 nt
Filed under: Salmo salar (Atlantic salmon)
Lineage: Eukaryota; Metazoa; Chordata; Actinopteri; Salmoniformes; Salmonidae
Description: lncRNA (ENSSSAG00000090699.1)
Source: RNAcentral